CAGAAGAAAAAACCCACUGAAGGAGGAGCAGCAAACCAUCCUGUCCUAUAUGGCCUAUCUUAAGAUUGACUGCCACCAGAGAGGGAUAGAAAUAAAACAGUUUGCCAAAAAGAGAGGAGCAGGAACUUCAUUUCUUCCCAAGAACCCCACUGAAACAAGGCAAAGCCCAAACUUGAGGUUCAGGCAUUCAGAGCAUGUCCAAAAUUGAGGCUGGACCAGGGACAACCUAGCUUCUGCCCCAAUGAGGAGUUUUGCAUGAGUGAAAAAACAGCACUCCACCAAUAUAGGUAGAAAUUCAGAAAUUCAGUGUGUAAAAUGGUAAAGCGGAUUGAAGUUGAAGAUAUUAGAUCAUUUAAGAGGUCAAUAAAUGAAGUAAUAAACAUGCGAAUGAGAAGACUGAUGAUGAAGAGGACCUUUAAAAGUGUAUUUCUGUUACGGUUUUUUUUUUUUUUUUUAAAGUGAUUUGAAGCCAUUUAUAAUGAUUGCUAAGUGGCAUGCUAAAGUUUUAAAAAACAAAUAAAGCAUUAAAAAAU
Molecule: non-coding RNA, 533 nt
Filed under: Pan troglodytes (chimpanzee)
Lineage: Eukaryota; Metazoa; Chordata; Mammalia; Primates; Hominidae
Source: RNAcentral